GAACGCUGGCGGCGCGCCUACCUACAUGCAGUCGAACGCUUUUGUUUUCACCGGAGCUUGCUCCACCGAAAACAAAAGAGUGGCGGACGGGUGAGUAACACGUGGGUAACCUGCCCUCAAGCGGGGGAUAACACUUGGAAACAGGUGCUAAUACCGCAUAACAAUCAAAGUCGCAUGAUUUUGAUUUGAAAGGCGCUUUUGCGUCACUUGAGGAUGGACCCGCGGUGCAUUAGCUAGUUGGUGAGGUAAUGGCUCACCAAGGCUGCGAUGCAUAGCCGACCUGAGAGGGUGAUCGGCCACACUGGGACUGAGACACGGCCCAGACUCCUACGGGAGGCAGCAGUAGGGAAUCUUCGGCAAUGGACGAAAGUCUGACCGAGCAACGCCGCGUGAGUGAAGAAGGUUUUCGGAUCGUAAAACUCUGUUGUUAGAGAAGAACAGGGUGAGAGUAGAAUGUUCACCCCUUGACGGUAUCUAACCAGAAAGCCACGGCUAACUACGUGCCAGCAGCCGCGGUAAUACGUAGGUGGCCAAGCGUUGUCCGGAUUAUUGGGCGUAAAGCGAGCGCAAGGCGGUUCUUUAAGU
RNAcentral lists this ribosomal RNA (585 nucleotides) under uncultured bacterium. RNAcentral's name for it is "bacterial SSU rRNA". It matches the Rfam family "Bacterial small subunit ribosomal RNA", at positions 31 to 588 of the family's 1533-position model. The record is from RNAcentral.